This 684-nucleotide ribosomal RNA is filed under the name uncultured bacterium. Its description in RNAcentral is "bacterial SSU rRNA". It matches the Rfam family "Bacterial small subunit ribosomal RNA", at positions 10 to 694 of the family's 1533-position model. The record is from RNAcentral.
AGUUUGAUCCUGGCUCAGGACGAACGCUGGCGGCGUGGAUUAGGCAUGCAAGUCAAACGACGGUCCAGGGCUUGCUCUGGAUACGGAGUGGCGAACGGGUGAGUAACACGUGAACAACCUGUCCCUACUUUCUGGAUAAUUCACCGAAGGGUGUUGUAAUACAGGCGAGGGUCUUGAUGGGGCAUCUCAUUAAGAAGGAACAUGCAAAUGGUGCAGGGAGGGGUUCGCGGUCUAUCAGCUUGUUGGUGAGGUAACGGCUCACCAAGGCGACGACGGAUAGCUGGUCUGAGAGGAUGGUCAGCCACAUUGGAACUGAGAUACUGUCCACACUCCUACGGGAGGCUGCAGUCAAGAAUCUUGGGCAAUGCACGAAAGUGCCACCCACCGACGCCGCGUGGAGGAUGAACGCCCCUGGGUCGUAAACUCCUUUUAUGGAAAAAGAACGCCUCUUCGGAGGUUUGACGGUACUCCAUGAAUAAGCCACGGCUAACUACGUGCCAGCAGCCGCGGUAAUACGUAGGUGGCAAGCGUUGUCCGGAUUUACUGGGCGUAAAGCGUAUGCAGGCGGAUUGGUUAGUAAGAAGUGAAAGGUUGGAGCUCAACUCUAACACUGCUCCCUAUACUGCCAGUCUUGAGUGCCGGAGAGGACAAGGGAACUUCACGUGUAGCGGUGAAAUGUGUUGA